UCACUGGCUCUUUUCAGAGCCACCAUACUUCAAGCUGGUCAUUGAC
This is a non-coding RNA of Operophtera brumata (winter moth), 46 nucleotides long. The record is from Rfam. Lineage: Eukaryota; Metazoa; Arthropoda; Insecta; Lepidoptera; Geometridae.